UGUCGCAUGCAACCACUUUCCACCAGCCGAACUACCCAUUCGCAACAAAAACCUAACCCCUCUAUCUCUGCCAUAUCUCUUUCUCUCAUCGUCGUGGUGCUAGUGUCGGGGAUACUAGAAUCCCCAAUCACAAACCUGGGAAUUCGUUGGUAACAUCGUCAUUCAUGUCGAUUGAACUCCAAUCUGCACAGUUUGUAAGAUGUUAGCCAACAAAGUCACACCAAUAUUAGUCGAAAGCUAAUUGAACGACAUACAUUGGCCGUGUUGAAGACAAUAUUGUUACAAUCGGGAAGAAUACUGAUGUGCCACGGAGAAGGUAAGGCUUAUCCACUUAUUUUCGGGCUUCAUGACCCACAUACAAACUCGGAUCAAGCGGAAAGAUAAAAGUGCUGAAGCUCUGAUCCACUUUCAGAACAUACUUUGGGGAUAUUUCAUAAUUUUCCAAAAUUUAGCAUCCAACAACAGUAACAGCACUCCAACAACAUAGAUCCAAUAAAAGAAAGAUGCAGCAGAUACAUCGGUGGUGGAUGCGGUUUCCCGGAAUUCAACCCCGAUUAAAAUUUGUGGAGUUCACUCAGCCUCUGGAAAUGUAACUCCAGCGUUAAUUGACCAACGGCCACCACGUCAAUGCUGAACUCGAAGAUCCUUAAGAGACUAAAGCGAGUCAGUCAAUUGAGGUAAGACUUUCAGGUCAAAAUCCUAACUAAAAUUACGUUGUAUUAUUCUGUACCUAUGGGUUUCAAGUAAAUUCGUUAAUUUAAAAAAAUUACCUGUUGGGUAAACUAAUAAUCAAUUACAGAUAGCAUUAUCACU
This 813-nucleotide long non-coding RNA is filed under the name Helianthus annuus (common sunflower). Its description in RNAcentral is "hypothetical non coding rna". Lineage: Eukaryota; Viridiplantae; Streptophyta; Magnoliopsida; Asterales; Asteraceae. The record is from RNAcentral.